AUUAUGGGCAUCAGCAGCAGUGCCCAUCAUAGAGUAUACUUUGCCACGACACAAGCUCUGAGGAGAGACAAGCCCCCACCACAAGAAACAGCAACUGUGUCCAGGAGUAUGUAAGAGGAGGGAUGAUGAACACAUCUGCACUUUGGAAAGAAUUACAGUGGUGAUGUGAAGACACAGUUGGAAAGCAGCAAAAGUAGGAGGGAAAGAAAUUGGCAUCUCGAAGUAACUUUAGAAGAACAGAAAUCAACUUGGCUGAAUUUCUUGGUUGAAAUCUGUAAGUAGCAAUGAGCACUGCUGGUGACAUUGUAGAAAUAUAAGAGAACUCAGUGACUAGACUAGAUGGGGUGGUUUUCAGAGACAGCAAGGCAGGUGCUAAAGGGUCAAGGUUUCAAAGUCUUAUCUCUAAGGGGAAGAUGGUGCCAAGGACAAGGGAAAGUUCCUUAAAGAUAUGAAAGGUCUCACCCACUGAAAAAGAUCAAGAAAGGCUUCAAGGAAAAAGAAGGGCAUGUGAUGUGGAUGCUGGAUAGAGCUAAGGUGAAUCAAAGCCUUGUAGGCAAGGAUAGGGAUGUGUUUAAAGACCAGUGAACAGCUUAUUUAAUUGGAAUGGAAAGCCUGAGCAGGGCAUGAUGGGUUACAAUAAGAUUGGAAAGGAGGGUCAUGGCCGCAUAGCUGAGGACUUUGAGUGCCAGGGUUAAGAGUGGGCAUAUUGCAUCCAGUAAGGUAUGUGAAUCUAUCAAAAGUUCUUGAAAAGAGUGGUGCAAGAGGUUAAAUUGAAGUGGGGAAGGAUUGUAAAUGUUGGUGACUCCAAAACUCUUGCCAGAGGCAAUAGGGGUUGGAUUACGGAGAUGCAGUAGUAAUAUAAGAAAGGAAAUGAAUGUGGGAAACACCACGGAGAUAAAGUGUUUAGAGUUUAACAAUUAAUUGGCUGUCAAGGUAAUGAUCUGGGGAUGGGGGAUAAAGUGAGGAGAAAAACAUAUUGGAAGUACCAAAAAAAAAAAAAAGCACAGGGAGAAGUGUUCAAAGGAGAUUCUAAGGGUUUCAGUCUGGGUAGAUCAUGGUAACUGUAACUGAAAUAGCUUAGUUAUACAGAUGACAAGAGUACAUUUGUGACAUACAUACAUGACAAUGAGACACACAUACACAUUUGCUCAUUUCAAUCUGUAGCUAAUAUCAUUUAUCUCCAUGUUAAAAAAAAGCAAAAAAAAUUAAAAAAAGAAGGGGAAGGAUAAAAAAUGAGAUUACUUCUUACAAUGGUAAGAGAUACUCGUUUUUAUUGGCACUAAUUAAGGAAGAAUAUUAUUGCAGUACUGUUAUAGUUCUGAGUAGUCAAAACUCUAGAAGCAGAUUCCUUUUCACUGCUUUUCUUCUUGUGCUAAAACCUACAGCAUGAGAAAAGCAACACAGAAAUCUGUGAAUUGUGGUCCUUCUAUGCAGCUAUUUUUAAUCUUUCAAAAAUGCCUAGACUUUAG
This 1469-nucleotide long non-coding RNA is filed under the name Homo sapiens (human). RNAcentral describes it as "HSALNT0106736". Lineage: Eukaryota; Metazoa; Chordata; Mammalia; Primates; Hominidae. The record is from RNAcentral.